Molecule: ribosomal RNA, 395 nt
Filed under: uncultured bacterium
Lineage: Bacteria
Description: bacterial SSU rRNA
Rfam family: Bacterial small subunit ribosomal RNA
Source: RNAcentral
GACGAACGCUGGCGGCGUGCUUAACACAUGCAAGUCGAGCGGUAAGGCCCUUCGGGGUACGACGAGCGGCGAACGGGUGAGUAACACGUGGGUGACCUGCCUCUAGCUCUGGGAUAAGCCUGGGAAACUGGGUCUAAUACCGGAUAUGACUCCACGGCGCAUGUUGUGGGUGGAAAGCCUUGUGUGGCUAGAGAUGGGCCCGCGGCCUAUCAGCUUGUUGGUGGGGUGAUGGCCUACCAAGGCGACGACGGGUAGCCGGCCUGAGAGGGCGACCGGCCACACUGGGACUGAGACACGGCCCAGACUCCUACGGGAGGCAGCAGUGGGGAAUCUUGCGCAAUGGGCGAAAGCCUGACGCAGCGACGCCGCGUGAGGGAUGACGGCCUGGUGUAACU